AUUCAGUUGGUAGAGUACAAAGUUUUUAACCUUGUGGACGUGGGUUCAAGCCCCAU
Molecule: transfer RNA, 56 nt
Filed under: Triticum aestivum (bread wheat)
Lineage: Eukaryota; Viridiplantae; Streptophyta; Magnoliopsida; Poales; Poaceae
Also listed under: 1 other name
Rfam family: tRNA
About the family: Transfer RNA (tRNA) molecules are approximately 80 nucleotides in length. Their secondary structure includes four short double-helical elements and three loops (D, anti-codon, and T loops). Further hydrogen bonds mediate the characteristic L-shaped molecular structure. tRNAs have two regions of fundamental functional importance: the anti-codon, which is responsible for specific mRNA codon recognition, and the 3' end, to which the tRNAs corresponding amino acid is attached (by aminoacyl-tRNA synthetases). tRNAs cope with the degeneracy of the genetic code in two manners: having more than one tRNA (with a specific anti-codon) for a particular amino acid; and 'wobble' base-pairing, i.e. permitting non-standard base-pairing at the 3rd anti-codon position.
Source: Rfam by way of RNAcentral